GCAUCUUUGUGGCUCAAGUUUUUAAGGGCACACGGUGGAUGCCUUGGCACCAGGAACCGAAGAAGGACGUAGGAAUCUGCGAUAAGCCUCGGGGAGUCGAUAACCAGACUGUGAUCCGAGGAUUUCCGAAUGGGGAAACCCGGCUGGAGGCAAGUCCAGUCACUCCCGCCUGAACACAUAGGGCGGGUAGAGGGAACGUGGGGAAGUGAAACAUCUCAGUACCCACAGGAAGAGAAAGCAACCGCGAUUCCGUGAGUAGUGGCGAGCGAAAGCGGAAGAGGCUAAACCUCAGUUGUGUGAUACCUGUCAGGGGUUGCAGCUGGGGGGUCGUGGGACUUUUCGGUCAGUGCUGACACGCUGGCAUGGAGUCAGAAAUGCGCGUUGUAGUCGAAGGGCAUUGAAAGGCCCGGCACAGAGGGUGCUACCCCCGUAGACGAAACGAUGCGCACUCCAGAGAAGUAUCCCAAGUAGCACGGGGCCCGAGAAAUCCCGUGUGAAUCUGGCGGGACCACCCGCUAAGCCUAAAUAUUCCCUGGUGACCGAUAGCGGACAAGUACCGUGAGGGAAAGGUGAAAAGUACCCCGGGAGGGGAGUGAAAUAGAUCCUGAAACCGUGUGCCUACAAUCCGUCGGAGCCUCCUUGUGGGGUGACGGCGUGCCUUUUGAAGAAUGAGCCUGCGAGUUAGUGCUCAGUGGCGAGGUUAACCCGUGUGGGGAAGCCGUAGCGAAAGCGAGUCCGAAUAGGGCGUUUUAGUCGCUGGGUCUAGACCCGAAGCGGAGUGAUCUACCCAUGGCCAGGUUGAAGCGACGGUAAGACGUCGUGGAGGACCGAACCCACUUAGGUUGAAAACUGAGGGGAUGAGCUGUGGGUAGGGGUGAAAGGCCAAUCAAACUCCGUGAUAGCUGGUUCUCCCCGAAAUGCAUUUAGGUGCAGCGUCACGUGUUUCUUACCGGAGGUAGAGCUACUGGAUAGCUGAUGGGCCUCACCAGGUUACUGACGUUAGCCAAACUCCGAAUGCCGGUAAGUGAGAGCGUGGCAGUGAGACUGCGGGGGAUAAGCUCCGUAGUCGAGAGGGAAACAGCCCAGACCACC
Molecule: ribosomal RNA, 1092 nt
Filed under: Salmonella enterica subsp. enterica
Lineage: Bacteria; Pseudomonadati; Pseudomonadota; Gammaproteobacteria; Enterobacterales; Enterobacteriaceae
Description: partial 23S ribosomal RNA
Rfam family: Bacterial large subunit ribosomal RNA
Source: RNAcentral